AGAGUUUGAUCCUGGCUCAGGACGAACGCUGGCGGCAGGCUUAACACAUGCAAGUCGAGCGCCCCGCAAGGGGAGCGGCGGACGGGUGAGUAACGCGUGGGAAUUUUCCUCAAGGUACGGAACAACUCAGGGAAACUUGGGCUAAUACCGUAUGAUGUCUAGCGACCAAAGAUUUAUCGCCUUGGGAUAAGCCCGCGUCAGAUUAGGUAGUUGGUGGGGUAACGGCCUACCAAGCCUGCGAUCUGUAGCUGGUCUGAGAGGACGAUCAGCCACACUGGGACUGAGACACGGCCCAGACUCCUACGGGAGGCAGCAGUGGGGAAUCUUGCGCAAUGGGCGAAAGCCUGACGCAGCCAUGCCGCGUGAAUGAUGAAGGUCUUAGGAUUGUAAAGUUCUUUCGCCCGUGACGAUGAUGACGGUAACGGGAGAAGAAGCCCCGGCUAACUUCGUGCCAGCAGCCGCGGUAAUACGAAGGGGGCUAGCGUUGUUCGGAAUUACUGGGCGUAAAGCGCGCGUAGGCGGUUUUGCAAGCCAGAGGUGAAAUGCCUGAGCUCAACUUAGGAAUUGCCUUUGGGACUGCGAGGCUUUGAGGACUGGAGAGGUGAGUGGAAUUCCCAGUGUAGAGGUGAAAUUCGUAGAUAUUGGGAAGAACACCAGUGGCGAAGGCGGCUCACUGGCCAGUUUCUGACGCUGCAGCGCGAAAGCGUGGGGAUCAAACAGGAUUAGAUACCCUGGUAGUCG
This 741-nucleotide ribosomal RNA is filed under the name uncultured bacterium. Its description in RNAcentral is "bacterial SSU rRNA". It matches the Rfam family "Bacterial small subunit ribosomal RNA", at positions 8 to 796 of the family's 1533-position model. The record is from RNAcentral.